UACGUAGGGUGCAAGCGUUAAUCGGAAUUACUGGGCGUAAAGCGUGCGCAGGCGGUUGUGCAAGACAGGUGUGAAAUCCCCGGGCUUAACCUGGGAACUGCACUUGUGACUGCACGGCUAGAGUACGGCAGAGGGGGAUGGAAUUCCGCGUGUAGCAGUGAAAUGCGUAGAUAUGCGGAGGAACACCGAUGGCGAAGGCAGUCCCCUGGGCCUGUACUGACGCUCAGGCACGAAAGCUAGGGGAGCAAACAGG
Molecule: ribosomal RNA, 253 nt
Filed under: uncultured bacterium
Lineage: Bacteria
Description: partial 16S ribosomal RNA
Rfam family: Bacterial small subunit ribosomal RNA
Source: RNAcentral